Paramisgurnus dabryanus is the source of this 1151-nucleotide long non-coding RNA. RefSeq lists it as uncharacterized. NCBI's taxonomy places the organism in Eukaryota, Metazoa, Chordata, Actinopteri, Cypriniformes, Cobitidae. The record is from RefSeq and is a predicted model, not a curated record.
AUUGGACAAAACAGUAAGGCGCAGUUUUGCUCGGAAGAUUCCAACGCAGAGCAGAAAGACGUGACUUUGCUAAGAAUCGAUAUUUUUUUGAAAAUAAACAUGAUCGAUCAUACUAACCGGAAGCGCGGAUCUUUCAGGAUUUUUUUCUUAUUUUUUUCGUUGUUUUGGAUUAAAAUGUGGGAUGCGUCUUAAAGAGUGGACCCUUAUACGUUGCAAUGUAUUCUGGUGUUUCUUGGAUUCGUCCGAAAUGAUCAGAACCGUGAUAUCGAAGUGCAAAAGUCUACGUUCAACGUAGACAAUUAUGGCCCGUCAUUGGCCCAGAGUGUACGUUCACUGUAGACUCUAGGCCAAUCAGAGAGCCGAACCGUCUACGUCCACCUUCCGACUAACUGGUUGGAAAUAGAAUUGAUAAUUGGAAGGCUGUUUCCUUCAGGAGAAGAUGGAUCCAUUGCUGCCCAAGCUAAGCUUUUUUGACAUAAGUGUGCCAAAAAAUAGGCAACAAUGCCUUCUUAGGGCAACAAAGGAGGCCAAGGCACUGGCGAAUCGAAACACGUGCUUCAAAAAGACAACAGUCGAGGACCAAAAGACGGCUUGUGAGGAAGCUAAAAAGAGAUGUCGGCACUUCACCUCGACUCCAUCAGAGGAGCAGUAUCUCGGUCAGCUUCAUUUGACCUUUGGAAAAUACAAUGGCCAAAGCUUUAAAUGGCUGGUCGAAAAUGAUGUUGGCUACAUUAAGUAUAUCAUUGAUCUGCAUGUAAAAGAAUGCCAGCAUCUCAAAAAAUAAAACCAUUAAUGACCGGAGGGUGAAGGACCUCCUCCUGAGGUAUGUGCAGCUGUUCCCUCCGGUCUCCUGCUACCUCGAGGUCAACGUGGACAGGGCAAUUUAUGGGCAGGACCGCUUCAGGUCGUUCACUUUCCUCGAGAUGCGGCAGUGGUACAGCCUGCACAAGCUGGGACCGGCCAAGAGAGAAAAUGGCGCAGGAGGCGUACACCUCUACAAAGCAGUGGCUGGUGAUGAAGGAGAAGGACAUCACCACCAAGUCCCUGAAGUGCUUCAGGCGCUACAUUCUCGAUAGAGAGAAGCCUCCACCGGAUUCCAAUCUUCCUGCCGCCACUUCCAGCUCUUCAAGAAGAGAACCAGGAUCAGUCAG